Molecule: ribosomal RNA, 203 nt
Filed under: uncultured Lactobacillus sp.
Lineage: Bacteria; Bacillati; Bacillota; Bacilli; Lactobacillales; Lactobacillaceae
Description: partial 16S ribosomal RNA
Rfam family: Bacterial small subunit ribosomal RNA
Source: RNAcentral
GAUGCUAAUACCGGAUAACAACAGAUGAUGCCUAUCAACUGUUUAAAAGAUGGUUCUGCUAUCACUCUUGGAUGGACCUGCGGUGCAUUAGCUAGCUGGUAGGGUAACGGCCUACCAAGGCGAUGAUGCAUAGCCGAGUUGAGAGACUGAUCGGCCACAUUGGGACUGAGACACGGCCCAAACUCCUACGGGAGGCAGCAGCU